RNAcentral lists this ribosomal RNA (600 nucleotides) under Russula intervenosa. Its description in RNAcentral is "eukaryotic LSU rRNA". It matches the Rfam family "Eukaryotic large subunit ribosomal RNA", at positions 76 to 651 of the family's 3401-position model. The record is from RNAcentral. Lineage: Eukaryota; Fungi; Basidiomycota; Agaricomycetes; Russulales; Russulaceae.
UUCCCUAGUAACUGCGAGUGAAGCGGGAAAAGCUCAAAUUUAAAAUCUGGUGGCUUUGGUCAUCCGAGUUGUAAUUUAGAGAAGCGUCUUCCGCGCUGAACCGUGCACAAGUCUCCUGGAAUGGAGCGUCAUAGAGGGUGAGAAUCCCGUCUUUGGCACGGAACAUCAGGGCUUCUGUGAUGCGCUCUCAACGAGUCGAGUUGUUUGGGAAUGCAGCUCAAAAUGGGUGGUGAACUCCAUCUAAAGCUAAAUAUUGGCGAGAGACCGAUAGCGAACAAGUACCGUGAGGGAAAGAUGAAAAGCACUUUGGAAAGAGAGUGAAACAGUACGUGAAAUUGUUGAAAGGGAAACGCUUGAAGUCAGUCGCGUCGACCGAGACUCAGCCUUGCCUUGGCUUGGUGUACUUCUCGGCUGACGGGUCAGCAUCAAUUUUGAUCCUCGGAUAAUGGCAAGGGAAAGGUAGCACCUUUUUAGGUGUGUUAUAGUCCUUUGUCGCAUACGAGGGUUGGGAUUGAGGAACUCAGCACGCACCUCUCGGUGUCGGGGCCUUGGCCCACGCUACGUGCUUAGGAUGCUGGCGUAAUGGCUUUAAACGACCCG